UACGAAGGGGGCUAGCGUUGCUCGGAUUGACUGGGCGUAAAGGGCGCGUAGGCGGUUCGUACAGUCAGACGUGAAAUUCCUGGGCUCAACCUGGGGGCUGCGUUUGAUACGUGCGGACUUGAGUGCGGAAGAGGGUCGUGGAAUUCCCAGUGUAGAGGUGAAAUUCGUAGAUAUUGGGAAGAACACCGGUGGCGAAGGCGGCGACCUGGUCCGAUACUGACGCUGAGGCGCGAAAGCGUGGGGAGCAACCAGG
RNAcentral lists this ribosomal RNA (253 nucleotides) under uncultured bacterium. Its description in RNAcentral is "partial 16S ribosomal RNA". It matches the Rfam family "Bacterial small subunit ribosomal RNA", at positions 524 to 776 of the family's 1533-position model. The record is from RNAcentral.